RNAcentral lists this long non-coding RNA (343 nucleotides) under Theobroma cacao (cacao). RNAcentral describes it as "long non-coding RNA (TCAC_LNC005865)". The record is from RNAcentral. Lineage: Eukaryota; Viridiplantae; Streptophyta; Magnoliopsida; Malvales; Malvaceae.
CACUUGCCGGUGAUGGUGAUGGUUAGGGAGAUGGAUGGUGAUACUUUUCGGCUAUGUGCAUGAUGUGGUAGGAUGCACAUGAGCUGGGUGAGAUGGGAUGUUCGGUUAUGUGCACGAUGUGGUGGGAUGCCAUGAGUUGGGUGAGAUGGGAUGUCUGGCUAUGUGCACGAUGUGGUGGGAUGCACAUGAUUUGGGUGAGAUGGAAUGAUUGCUGGAAAUUUCCUCUCUUUCAAAUUUCAUGCUAAACACGAUUCCUUCAUCAUUAAAUGAUUUAAUAACCAAGGGUUUAAUGGAGGGAUUUUAAUAAGAACUUGAACUAAGUUGUAUUGUUUUCAAAUAAGUG